AACGAACGCUGGCGGCAUGCCUAACACAUGCAAGUCGAACGAGACCUUCGGGUCUAGUGGCGCACGGGUGCGUCACGCGUGGGAACCUGCCCUUAGGUUCGGCAUAACUCCCCGAAAGGGGUGCUAAUACCGGAUCAUGUCUUCGGCCCAAAGAUUUAUCGCCGUUGGAUGGGCCCGCGUUGGAUUAGCUGGUUCGUAGGGUAAAAGCCUACCAAGGCGACGAUCCAUAGCUGGUCUGAGAGACUGAUCAGCCACACUGGGAGUGGGACACGGCCCAGACUCCUACGGGAUGCAGCAGAGGCGGAUAGUGGACAGUCGGCGGAAUCCUGAACGAGCAAUGCCGCGAGAGUGAUGAAAGCCGGAGGGAUGUAAAGCGCUUUUACCCGGGAUGAUAAUGACAGUACCGGGAGAAUAAGCUCCGGCUAACUCCGUG
Molecule: ribosomal RNA, 433 nt
Filed under: uncultured bacterium
Lineage: Bacteria
Description: partial 16S ribosomal RNA
Rfam family: Bacterial small subunit ribosomal RNA
Source: RNAcentral